RNAcentral lists this ribosomal RNA (406 nucleotides) under uncultured bacterium. RNAcentral describes it as "partial 16S ribosomal RNA". It matches the Rfam family "Bacterial small subunit ribosomal RNA", at positions 30 to 526 of the family's 1533-position model. The record is from RNAcentral.
AUUGAACGCUGGCGGCAGGCCUAACACAUGCAAGUCGAGCGAGCGGCGGACGGGUGAGUAAUGUCUGGGAAACUGCCUGAUGGAGGGGGAUAACUACUGGAAACGGUAGCUAAUACCGCAUACCAUCAGAUGUGCCCAGAUGGGAUUAGCUAGUAGGUGGGGUAAUGGCUCACCUAGGCGACGAUACCUCGCUGGUCUGAGAGGAUGACCAGCCACACUGGAACUGAGACAAGGUCCAGACUCCUACGGGAGGCAGCAGGGGGGAAUAUGGCACAAGGGGCGCAAGCCUGAUACAGCCAUGCCGCGUGUGUGAAGAAGGCCUUCGGGUUGUAAAGCACUUUCAGCGAGGAGGCGUUACUCGCAGAAGAAGCACCGGCUAACUCCGUGCCAGCAGCCGCGGUAAUAC